Molecule: ribosomal RNA, 497 nt
Filed under: uncultured bacterium
Lineage: Bacteria
Description: partial 16S ribosomal RNA
Rfam family: Bacterial small subunit ribosomal RNA
Source: RNAcentral
GAUGAACGCUGGCGGCGUGCCUAAUACAUGCAAGUCGAGCGAACAGACGAGGAGCUUGCUCCUCUGACGUUAGCGGCGGACGGGUGAGUAACACGUGGAUAACCUACCUAUAAGACUGGGAUAACUUCGGGAAACCGGAGCUAAUACCGGAUAAUAUAUUGAACCGCAUGGUUCAAUAGUGAAAGACGGUUUUGCUGUCACUUAUAGAUGGAUCCGCGCCGCAUUAGCUAGUUGGUAAGGUAACGGCUUACCAAGGCAACGAUGCGUAGCCGACCUGAGAGGGUGAUCGGCCACACUGGAACUGAGACACGGUCCAGACUCCCACGGGAGGCAGCAGUAGGGAAUCUUCCGCAAUGGGCGAAAGCCUGACGGAGCAACGCCGCGUGAGUGAUGGAGGUCUUCGGAUCGUAAAACUCUGUUAUUAGGGAAGAACAAAUGUGUAAGUAACUAUGCACGUCUUGACGGUACCUAAUCAGAAAGCCACGGCUAACUACGUG